GACGAACGCUGGCGGCGUGCCUAAUACAUGCAAGUCGAACGCUGAUUUUCUAACUAAUGCUUGCAUUGACUUGAAAAUCGGAGUGGCGAACGGGUGAGUAACACGUAUCCAAUCUACCCUUAGGUUGGGGAUAACUGGUCGAAAGACUAGCUAAUACCGAAUAUCAAUACUCCUAUCGCAUGAGAAAGUAUUGAAAGAUCCUUUUGGAUCGCCUUUGGAUGAGGGUGCGGCAUAUCAGAUAGUUGGUGAGGUAACGGCUCACCAAGUCAAUGACGUGUAGCUGUACUGAGAGGUAAAACAGCCACAAUGGGACUGAGACACGGCCCAUACUCCUACGGGAGGCAGCAGUAGGGAAUUUUUCACAAUGGGCGAAAGCCUGAUGGAGCAAUGCCGCGUGAAUGAUGAAGGUCUUACAGAUUGUAAAAUUCUUUUAUUUGGGAAGAACGACCACGAUAGGAAAUGAUCGUGGAAUGACUGUACCAUUUGAAUAAGUAUCGGCUAACUAUGUGCCAGCCGCCGCAGUAACAC
This 528-nucleotide ribosomal RNA is filed under the name uncultured bacterium. Its description in RNAcentral is "bacterial SSU rRNA". It matches the Rfam family "Bacterial small subunit ribosomal RNA", at positions 28 to 526 of the family's 1533-position model. The record is from RNAcentral.